RNAcentral lists this ribosomal RNA (545 nucleotides) under uncultured archaeon. RNAcentral's name for it is "bacterial SSU rRNA". It matches the Rfam family "Archaeal small subunit ribosomal RNA", at positions 328 to 873 of the family's 1478-position model. The record is from RNAcentral.
GGGUGCAGCAGGCGCGAAAACUUUACAAUGCGGGAAACCGUGAUAAGGGGACACCGAGUGCCAGCAUCAUAUGCUGGCUGUCCAGGUGUGUAAAAUACACCUGUUAGCAAGGGCCGGGCAAGACCGGUGCCAGCCGCCGCGGUAACACCGGCGGCCCGAGUGGUGAUCGUGAUUAUUGGGUCUAAAGGGUCCGUAGCCGGUUUGGUCAGUCCUCCGGGAAAUCUGAUAGCUUAACUAUUAGGCUUUCGGAGGAUACUGCCAGACUUGGAACCGGGAGAGGUAAGAGGUACUACAGGGGUAGGAGUGAAAUCUUGUAAUCCCUGUGGGACCACCUGUGGCGAAGGCGUCUUACCAGAACGGGUUCGACGGUGAGGGACGAAAGCUGGGGGCACGAACCGGAUUAGAUACCCGGGUAGUCCCAGCCGUAAACGAUGCUCGCUAGGUGUCAGGCAUGGCGCGACCGUGUCUGGUGCCGCAGGGAAGCCGUGAAGCGAGCCACCUGGGAAGUACGGCCGCAAGGCUGAAACUUAAAGGAAUUGGCGGGG